GAUGAAGCGUUGAAUUGAAGCCCGAGUAAACGGCGGCCGUAACUAUAACGGUCCUAAGGUAGCGAAAUUCCUUGUCGGUUAAAUACCGACCUGCAUGAAUGGCGUAACGAGAUGGGAGCUGUCUCAACCAGAGAUUCAGUGAAAUUGUAGUGGAGGUGAAAAUUCCUCCUACCCGCGGCAAGACGGAGAGACCCCGUGGACCUUUACUACAACUUAUCACUGCUAACGGGAAUAUCAUGCGCAGGAUAGGUGGGAGGCUUUGAAGUAAGGGCUUUGGCUCUUAUGGAGG
RNAcentral lists this ribosomal RNA (289 nucleotides) under Helicobacter pylori. RNAcentral's name for it is "partial 23S ribosomal RNA". It matches the Rfam family "Bacterial large subunit ribosomal RNA", at positions 1898 to 2186 of the family's 2925-position model. The record is from RNAcentral. Lineage: Bacteria; Pseudomonadati; Campylobacterota; Epsilonproteobacteria; Campylobacterales; Helicobacteraceae.